GAUGAACGCUGGCGGCGUGCUUAACACAUGCAAGUCGAACGAUGAAGCCCAGCUUGCUGGGUGGAUUAGUGGCGAACGGGUGAGUAACACGUGAGUAACCUACCCUUGACUCUGGGAUAAGCCCGGGAAACUGGGUCUAAUACCGGAUGGGAACGUCCACCGCAUGGUGGUUGUUGGAAAGAUUUAUCGGUCAUGGAUGGACUCGCGGCCUAUCAGCUUGUUGGUGAGGUAAUGGCUCACCAAGGCGACGACGGGUAGCCGGCCUGAGAGGGUGACCGGCCACACUGGGACUGAGACACGGCCCAGACUCCUACGGGAGGCAGCAGUGGGGAAUAUUGCACAAUGGGCGAAAGCCUGAUGUAGCGACGCCGCGUGAGGGAUGACGGCCUUCGGGUUGUAAACCUCUUUCAGUAGGGAAGAAGCGAAAGUGACGGUACCUGCAGAAGAAGCACCGGCUAACUACGUGCCAGCAGCCGCAGUAA
This 482-nucleotide ribosomal RNA is filed under the name uncultured bacterium. Its description in RNAcentral is "partial 16S ribosomal RNA". It matches the Rfam family "Bacterial small subunit ribosomal RNA", at positions 28 to 523 of the family's 1533-position model. The record is from RNAcentral.